CCCCUCUCAGGGUCGGACUUGGAGAGUUUCCAGUACUCUUCCAGUCUCAGCUACGGGAGGGAGAGUCAAACAGAGGCAUACUCAUUCCAUUCCUAGCUUAGGUAGUGGCUAGUGAGUGGAAGGCAAACUGCUACAAGU
This 138-nucleotide small nucleolar RNA is filed under the name Ornithorhynchus anatinus (platypus). The record is from RNAcentral. Lineage: Eukaryota; Metazoa; Chordata; Mammalia; Monotremata; Ornithorhynchidae.